Molecule: long non-coding RNA, 410 nt
Organism: Gavialis gangeticus (Gharial)
Lineage: Eukaryota; Metazoa; Chordata; Crocodylia; Gavialidae
Exons: 2
Source: RefSeq, a predicted model, not a curated record
UUAGAGCAUUUGCUCAUCCUUCAAGAUGGCUAAUUGCAUCUGCCAAUCAAUAUCAAGAAACAGAUUACAGUGUUAAUAUAUGGAUAUAUUUCUUGGAAUAGGAUAAUAAUUCCAAAAGCUUGCUAACAGCAUGACCAAGUGUAAUUUACAAUUGGGUGCUCUGAUGGAUGGCAACAAAGAUGUAACAUCAGCAGCAAUUCAUGGACAAAGCUCAUCUCCCACCAAAUGAAAAGCUGCUACAUAUGCCACUGAUGUUUCUGCCUUUAGAAAUUAAUGGACAUGUUGGCACUAGAUAGUUCCUAUAAACCAAGAUGCAGCUGUGAAAUAAACGGGCAAGAUGAAGGCACUGAAAGUCCUUAAGGACUACUUUAAGGAGAGAAGAAAAUAGGCUGUGAAUCACUAGGAAGGAG